AGUGAACGCUGGCGGUAGGCCUAACACAUGCCAGUCGAACGGCAGCACAGUAAGAGCUUGCUCUUACGGGUGGCGAGUGGCGGACGGGUGAGGAAUACAUCGGAAUCUACUUUUUCGUGGGGGAUAACGUAGGGAAACUUACGCUAAUACCGCAUACGACCUACGGGUGAAAGCAGGGGAUCUUCGGACCUUGCGCGAUUGAAUGAGCCGAUGUCGGAUUAGCUAGUUGGCGGGGUAAAGGCCCACCAAGGCGACGAUCCGUAGCUGGUCUGAGAGGAUGAUCAGCCACACUGGAACUGAGACACGGUACAGACUCCUACGGGAGGCAGCAGUGGGGAAUAUUGGACAAUGGGGGCAAGCCUGAUCCAGCCAUACCGCGUGGGUGAAGAAGGCCUUCGGGUUGUAAAGCCCUUUUGUUGGGAAAGAAAAGCAGCAGGUUAAUACCCCGCUGUUCUGACGGUACCCAAAGAAUAAGCACCGGCUAACUUCGUG
This 492-nucleotide ribosomal RNA is filed under the name uncultured bacterium. Its description in RNAcentral is "partial 16S ribosomal RNA". It matches the Rfam family "Bacterial small subunit ribosomal RNA", at positions 29 to 507 of the family's 1533-position model. The record is from RNAcentral.